RNAcentral lists this ribosomal RNA (371 nucleotides) under uncultured bacterium. RNAcentral describes it as "bacterial SSU rRNA". It matches the Rfam family "Bacterial small subunit ribosomal RNA", at positions 527 to 896 of the family's 1533-position model. The record is from RNAcentral.
AGAGGUGGCAAGCGUUGUUCGGAAUUACUGGGCGUAAAGGGCGCGUAGGCGGUCUUGCAAGUCCCGUGUGAAAUCCCUCGGCUCAACUGAGGAAUGGCACGGGAAACUGCUUGGCUUGAGUUCGGGAGAGGGAAGCGGAAUUCCGGGUGUAGCGGCGAAAUGCGUAGAUAUCCGGAGGAACACCGGUGGCGAAGGCGGCUUCCUGGACCGACACUGACGCUGAGGCGCGAAAGCUAGGGGAGCAAACGGGAUUAGAUACCCCGGUAGUCCUAGCCGUAAACGAUGAGCGCUGGGUGUAGGGGGUAUUGACCCCCCCUGUGCCGAAGCUAACGCAUUAAGCGCUCCGCCUGGGGAGUACGGUCGCAAGGCUG